CGGUUGAUCCUGCCGGACCCGACUGCUAUUUGGGUGAGAAUAAGCCAUGCGAGUUGAAUGGGAUAUAACAUUUCCCAUGGCCAACUGCUCAGUAACACAUGAUCACCUGACCCUAUGGAGAAAAAUAACCUCGGGAAACUGAGGAUAAUGUUUCAUAGUUGAAAAGGCUUUGAAAAGUUUUUCAAUCAAAGGGAUAAAGAAAAUGGUUCUUAUCCGCCAUAGGAUAGGAUCGUGGUCGAUUAUGGUAGUUGGUGAGAUAACGGCUCACCAAGCCGAUAAUCGAUAGGGGCCGUGAGAGCGGGAGCCCCGAGAUGGGUACUGAGACAACGACCCAGGCCUUACGAGGCGCAGCAGGCGCGAAACCUCAACAAUACACGCAAGUGUGAUUGGGUUACCCAAAGUGCUCCAAAAGGAGCUGUGGUAGGUGAGUAAUGUCCCCUACUAGAAAGGAGAGGGCAAGGCUGGUGCCAGCCGCCGCGGUAAAACCAGCUCUUCAAGUGGUCGGGAUAAUUAUUGGGCUUAAAGUGUCCGUAGCCGGUUUAGUAAGUUCCUGGUAAAAUCGGGUAGCUUAACUAUCUGUAUGCUAGGAAUACUGCUAUACUAGAGGGCGGGAGAGGUCUGAGGUACUACAGGGGUAGGGGUGAAAUCUUAUAAUCCUUGUAGGACCACCAGUGGCGAAGGCGUCAGACUGGAACGCGCCUGACGGUGAGGGACGAAAGCCAGGGGAGCGAACCGGAUUAGAUACCCGGGUAGUCCUGGCCGUAAGCGAUGCAUACUAGGUGAUGGCACGGCCAUGAGCCGUGUCAGUGCCGUAGGGAAACCGUUAAGUGUGCCGCCUGGGAAGUACGGUCGCAAGGCUAAAACUUAAAGGAAUUGGCGGGGGAGCAC
RNAcentral lists this ribosomal RNA (888 nucleotides) under uncultured archaeon. Its description in RNAcentral is "bacterial SSU rRNA". It matches the Rfam family "Archaeal small subunit ribosomal RNA", at positions 5 to 879 of the family's 1478-position model. The record is from RNAcentral.